UCGGAGUGCUUGCACUCUGUGAAACAAGAUACAGGCUAGCGGCGGACGGGUGAGUAACACGUGGGUAACCUGCCCAAGAGAUCGGGAUAACACCUGGAAACAGAUGCUAAUACCGGAUAACAACAGAUGAUGCCUAUCAACUGUUUAAAAGAUGGUUCUGCUAUCACUCUUGGAUGGACCUGCGGUGCAUUAGCUAGUUGGUAGGGUAACGGCCUACCAAGGCGAUGAUGCAUAGCCGAGUUGAGAGACUGAUCGGCCACAUUGGGACUGAGACACGGCCCAAACUCCUACGGGAGGCAGCAGUAGGGAAUCUUCCACAAUGGACGCAAGUCUGAUGGAGCAACGCCGCGUGAGUGAAGAAGGGUUUCGGCUCGUAAAGCUCUGUUGUUGGUGAAGAAGGACAGGGGUAGUAACUGACCUUUGUUUGACGGUAAUCAAUUAGAAAGUCACGGCUAACUACGUGCCAGCAGCCGCGGUAAUACGUAGGUGGCAAGCGUUGUCCGGAUUUAUUGGGCGUAAAGCGAGUGCAGGCGGCUCGAUAAGUCUGAUGUGAAAGCCUUCGGCUCAACCGGAGAAUUGCAUCAGAAACUGUCGAGCUUGAGUACAGAAGAGGAGAGUGGAACUCCAUGUGUAGCGGUGAAAUGCGUAGAUAUAUGGAAGAACACCGGUGGCGAAGGCGGCUCUCUGGUCUGUUACUGACGCUGAGGCUCGAAAGCAUGGGUAGCGAACAGGAUUAGAUACCCUGGUAGUCCAUGCCGUANACGAUGAGUGCUAAGUGUUGGGAGGUUUCCGCCUCUCAGUGCUGCAGCUAACGCAUUAAGCACUCCGCCUGGGGAG
This 837-nucleotide ribosomal RNA is filed under the name uncultured bacterium. Its description in RNAcentral is "bacterial SSU rRNA". It matches the Rfam family "Bacterial small subunit ribosomal RNA", at positions 71 to 880 of the family's 1533-position model. The record is from RNAcentral.